CUAUGAUGAUAGAAUCAAGGCUUGUUUCUCUACAUUCGCAGUUGCCGCCUAAGAGCUUUCGCCCUGCCAGGCUUGAGAGCUAAUGCUGCUACAUUGUUGAAUAU
Molecule: small nucleolar RNA, 104 nt
Filed under: Setaria italica (foxtail millet)
Lineage: Eukaryota; Viridiplantae; Streptophyta; Magnoliopsida; Poales; Poaceae
Description: snoRNA SNORD14
Source: RNAcentral